GGCAGGCCUAACACAUGCAAGUCGAACGGUAACAGGAAGAAGCUUGCUUCUUUGCUGACGAGUGGCGGACGGGUGAGUAAUGUCUGGGAAACUGCCUGAUGGAGGGGGAUAACUACUGGAAACGGUAGCUAAUACCGCAUAACGUCGCAAGACCAAAGAGGGGGACCUUCGGGCCUCUUGCCAUCGGAUGUGCCCAGAUGGGAUUAGCUAGUAGGUGGGGUAACGGCUCACCUAGGCGACGAUCCCUAGCUGGUCUGAGAGGAUGACCAGCCACACUGGAACUGAGACACGGUCCAGACUCCUACGGGAGGCAGCAGUGGGGAAUAUUGCACAAUGGGCGCAAGCCUGAUGCAGCCAUGCCGCGUGUAUGAAGAAGGCCUUCGGGUUGUAAAGUACUUUCAGCGGGGAGGAA
This 412-nucleotide ribosomal RNA is filed under the name Escherichia coli. Its description in RNAcentral is "bacterial SSU rRNA". It matches the Rfam family "Bacterial small subunit ribosomal RNA", at positions 41 to 449 of the family's 1533-position model. The record is from RNAcentral. Lineage: Bacteria; Pseudomonadati; Pseudomonadota; Gammaproteobacteria; Enterobacterales; Enterobacteriaceae.